Quercus robur (English oak) is the source of this 164-nucleotide long non-coding RNA. RefSeq lists it as uncharacterized. The record is from RefSeq and is a predicted model, not a curated record. The transcript is spliced from 2 exons. Lineage: Eukaryota; Viridiplantae; Streptophyta; Magnoliopsida; Fagales; Fagaceae.
AUUUGCUUGUGCAUUGAGCUUAUCUGGUGGCACAACUGAUAAGCCAGAAGAAUUGGACCAAUACCCAAUUGUCCUAGGCCCUGUGCCAAUCACAUUGAUGACUUCAUAUGAAGGAUGAAUGAGGUUACCAUCAGGAGUGAACUUAACCUGGCCAGUUACACCAC